Molecule: ribosomal RNA, 609 nt
Filed under: Triticum aestivum (bread wheat)
Lineage: Eukaryota; Viridiplantae; Streptophyta; Magnoliopsida; Poales; Poaceae
Description: partial small subunit ribosomal RNA
Source: RNAcentral
AUGAGCGCGGUGCUCACGAAGAUUUCAUUCACUACCAGCGGUUUGAAUGAGGCAUUUACAAGCCUGCUCAAAGGCUUCAAGGUGUACAAUGAUCCGGCAGCCAACCAGUCUGUUGAAGUUGCUGAACUGAGAAGGCAGAUCGGAUCGAUUGAUGCCGAUAUCAUGCUGGUGAAUAAACGACUUGAAGAAUCCCAGGAUGGUGCUGCUGCCAUGGAGGCCCUAAGGGCCGAGCUCACUCAAGCCAAGGAACAAGCUCGGGCUAGCAAUGCGGCUGCCCUAAAGGCGGCCGAAGAGUUUAGAGCCGAACAGGCUGCUCAUCGCCGAAGCGGGGAAAAGAUAGCGGAAAUGGCUGAAGAGUUGAAAAAUGACGCCGACCGGUAUGUGCUCCUUGAAAAGGAGAGUAAGGCUAGUUCGACCGAGCUGGACAAGGCGCUUAAUGCCGCCAAGGAGUUGCGGACCGAGAUCCGGGGAAUGCGGGAGGAGCUCCAACAGGCCAAAAAAAAUCAUGGCUGGGGGCUCCUAACUACUGCGGAAGAAGUUUUUGGAUCCAAAUUAUGCUCCCUUAGCUGGGCGUUACGCAUAUGCGGACUUGACGGAAAGUACAGCUGA